RNAcentral lists this long non-coding RNA (1903 nucleotides) under Homo sapiens (human). Its description in RNAcentral is "HSALNT0216618". The record is from RNAcentral. Lineage: Eukaryota; Metazoa; Chordata; Mammalia; Primates; Hominidae.
UGAGAAGGCAACAAGGACCAAGGGUGGGACUAUCAGUACUGCCACUGACAGCUGGAGGACUUGAGGCACAGAGCAGUUAUUACCCUAGGUUGCUGAACUAGGAAAGGGCACAGCCAGGAUGGACUCUCCAGCAGCCUGGCCUGGCGUCAGGAUGCUCGACCCCAAGAAAGUUCUGGAACUUCCCUGUGCUCUCCCUCUGGCUGCUCCGUGUGGGGCUCCGACUCCCAAGAGCCCCGGGGCUGCUGUGGGCAGAUAAUCAGGAAGCAGACAUUCAACUACAAAAGCAAACAUUGACCAAGGCAGGCAGCAGGGCCUAUGGCGUGGGAGCGCUACCUGGACCCCUCACAGACUGCCGGGUGGGGCUGGGGGCCGGGGACACCAGGAGCCGCCCACUGACCUGUGUGUCUGCCCUGUGGCUCCGUCUGUCCUGGGGUGCCUUUCUUUCCUCCCUGUCAGGCCACACACAUGAGGAGCCAGCUCCCAUGCAGAGGGCCCCCUCAUCGCCCCACAUGGACACACCUACUUUCCAUUGUCACCUGUCAGCAUGUCCGGGCUGUGCUCCAGUCCUGACUGUGGCCCUGAUCCCUCUGGGACUGAUCCAACCCCUCCCCCUUCUGCACCAACUACAGGAAGAAGGGCUUCCACUAGGCCAGCACCCAGGGCUCCUCAGGCCCCCACUCUGAGCCACCGUGUAGCGUGGGCUCUGAGGGAGCAGGGUCAGUGGGAGCCGGCAGGGACAGAGUGGCCCUAGGAUGUGCUCUGCCGAGAGAGGGGAAUUGAGUCACUGCGUGGGGUCUUCCAUGGUGCCCUGGAGGGCACUUGGAGGAAGCUAACUAGAACAAACUGGGCACUGUCCACGUCGCUGGGCUCAGCAGGGGUCACCCUUCCCAGGGUGGGGACUAUGAGGUCUUCACUCAACUGUGAUGCCACACCAGAUUAUCUUGCUAUCCAGCAUGUCCUCAGUCUGAACUGUGCUCUGACCAGACAAUCACACCAAGACCCAACUCCCCCACACAAUGCGACUGAGAUCUGUGUUUUUGGAGAUGAUUGCCUGAUUUCUCCCAAAAAGGGUUUUAACUUUUCAUAGACAGGGGGAUUCUAGGAGCCUCAUGACUUUCCCUAAUUUUCCCUCCACCUCCAACACGUACCUGCCCACCUCGUCCAAGCCCCGGGCUUGACAGGUGUCCCCUCUGAGAACAUUACUGCACUGACUUUGUCCCCGAGGGUGAGGUGAACCGCUGGGGACUGAUGCCAGGGACUGGGGAGUGGCCGUGCCCUGAAGGAAGGUCAAGGCACAGGAGUCAUGUAACGCACCUUCUCCAACCACAGCACAACCAUGUGAGGACUGAUGACAAGAACGGAGUGGAAAAUACCCGGCCAUCUGGGAAUUACAAAAACAACCCAUCAGCCAAACAAGAAACCAUAAUGGAAACCGAUAUUUGGAACUGAAUGAUGAAAAAGUACUUCACAGUAAAACUUGUAGGAUCCACCUAAAAUUGCAUGGAAGGAUAAUUCUAUGGAUUUAAAUGGUUAUAUUAGAAAAGAAGGAUGUCUGAAAAGUAAUGAGCCGAACAUCCAGCUCAAUAAACUAGAAAAAGGGGAACAAAGAAAGAAGGAAAUAAAAAAAUAAGAGCAGAAAUUAAUGAAAUGGAAAACAAUAUACAAAACAAAGGAAUAACUAACGCCAGAAGCUUGAUCUUUGAAAGGACAUCAGUUUUAGUGAUCUGUUUCAUUGCAGUGACCGCAGUUAAUAAUAAUGCAUUUUAUGUUUUUAAAUUCUUAAAAGAAUAGAUUUUAAAUGUUUUCACCACAAAAAAUAAUGUGUUGAUGAGGUGAUAGAUAUGUCAAUUAGCUUGAUUGAAUCUUUCUACAAUGUAUACAUAGAAUAAAACAUUACAUUGUA